CUGAGAGGUGGGAAUGGAGUUAGCUGGGGCUGAGUGCUGAGAGGUGGGAAUGGAGUUAGCUGAGGCUGAGGGCUGGGAAUGGAGUUAGCUGGGGGCUGGAGGUGGGAAUGGAGUUAGCUGAGGGCUGGGGGUUGGAGCUAGGGCUGAGUGCUGAGAGGUGGGAAUGGAGUUAGCUGAGGGCUGGGGGCUGGAGGUGGGAAUGGAGUUAGCUUGGGCUGAGUGCUGAGAGGUGGGAAUGGAGUUAGCUGAGGGCUGGGGGCUGGAGGUGGGAAUGGAGUUAGCUUGGGCUGAGUGCUGAGAGGUGGGAAUGGAGUUAGCUGAUGGCUGGGGGUGGGAAUGGAGUUAGCUGAGGGCUGGGGGUGGGAAUGAGGUUGGCUGAGGGCUGGAGGUGGGAAUGGAAUUAGCUGGGGCUGAGGGCUGGGAAUGGAGUUAGCUGAGGGCUGGGGGUGGGAAUGGAGUUAGCUGAGGGCUGGGGGUGGGAAUGGAGUUAGCUGAGGGCUGGAGGUGGGAAUGGAGUUUGCUGGGGCUGAGGGCUGAGAGGUGGGAAUGGAGUUAGCUGGGGCUGAGGGCUGAGAGGUGGGAAUGGAGUUAGCUGAGGGCUGGGGGUGGGAAUGGAGUUAGCUGAGGGCUGGGGGUGGGAAUGGAGUUAGCUGAGGGCUGGGG
This is a long non-coding RNA of Oncorhynchus tshawytscha (Chinook salmon), 663 nucleotides long. The record is from Ensembl. Lineage: Eukaryota; Metazoa; Chordata; Actinopteri; Salmoniformes; Salmonidae.